CCAGGCGGUCUACCCCCCAGGUGUACUCCAGGCGGUCUACCCCCCCAGGUGUACUCCAGGCGGUCUACCCCCCCAGGUGUACUCCAGGCGGUCUACCCCCCCAGGUGUACUCCAGGCGGUCUACUUGUGCUCCUUGGUGGGGGCGAAGUACAGCUCCAUGGGUUUGUUCACCUUCCAGUACUUCUCACUGACAAGCUCCAGAGAGAAAGACCCGUUCAGCACC
Molecule: long non-coding RNA, 223 nt
Organism: Oncorhynchus keta (chum salmon)
Lineage: Eukaryota; Metazoa; Chordata; Actinopteri; Salmoniformes; Salmonidae
Exons: 4
Source: RefSeq, a predicted model, not a curated record